Molecule: non-coding RNA, 378 nt
Organism: Malaclemys terrapin pileata
Lineage: Eukaryota; Metazoa; Chordata; Testudines; Emydidae
Source: the annotation of a RefSeq genome assembly
AUGAGGCUUUGGCUCCAUUUAGUUUUGAUUGUGGCAGCUUUGGAAGGUGUCCGGUCCCAGGUGCAGCUGGUGGAGUCCGGAGGGGAUGUGAAAAAACCUGGAGACUCUCUCCGCCUCUCCUGCAAAGCCUCCGGCUUCACCUUCAGCGACUACGAGAUGGACUGGGUCCGACAGGCUCCAGGGAAGGGACUGGAAUGGGUGGCUCUGGUUAGCAAACCGACUGGAUCCAAGCAACAUUAUUCGCCGGCUGUUCAGGGGCGAUUCACCAUUUCCCGGGACAACUCUGUCAACACGGUGUAUCUGCAAAUGACCGGCCUGAAGCCCGAGGACACCGCCCGGUAUUACUGUGCGAGAGACACAGAGGAUUUCCACUUCUGA